Long non-coding RNA from Ctenopharyngodon idella (grass carp), 2627 nucleotides. RefSeq lists it as uncharacterized. The record is from RefSeq and is a predicted model, not a curated record. The transcript is spliced from 3 exons. Lineage: Eukaryota; Metazoa; Chordata; Actinopteri; Cypriniformes; Xenocyprididae.
GUUGGUGUUGGUGUCCUGCUCCUUGUUGCUUCUGGUUUAAUUUACUAUCGCAAGCACCAAGCAGGAAGGAAUGGCAGCAGGAGGGAGGACAGUCUUCAGGAGAAUGAUGCAGAGUACUCGCCCCUUAAUCACAGUAACUCUCAAUCGCCGAAUGUGAUGUCCCUUAAUCCGUCUGUGUCUGAGGCUGCCAAUGAAACACCACAGUAACAUUAUUAUACUGACUUGAGUAAUCCAAAAUUCGGAUCUAUUACGCCAUUUUUGCUUUGUAGUGUGGAUGGAGAAAACAGAGGUAUUUGAAAACGAUGACACUUGUUUAGUCAUGUGACGCAUAUUGUACCCAUAGAUAUCUAUAGUUAUACCGGCAUUGUUGUGCCUGUUAUUUACAUGAACAGUAUUGCAAAAAUUGAAUUUACUCGCAUAUGCUGUCCUGCAUGGCAAAAUAUGAUGAUAGUUGUGUUUUAAACGUUUGGAAAAAGCUUGAAAAACACUAGUGUGGAUGAGGAGCGGUUUUAAAUGAAAACUCAGUUUUCAAAUGUCUCUGGAUUACUGUAGACAUAGCCUAAACUGCUAUUCUGUGUGAUAUUUCUAAGCCAUUGAGACUCAUUUAAGCUUCCAUUCUAUCUUACAUUUACUAUCAAAAAUUCUAACUUUUAAUGCUACUAAACUAAAACUUGAAACUAUUUCAAACUUACAACCUCUAAACUUAAAACUUAGAGGUUAAAGGCUUUCUCAAGCCAACAUCAAAGUUUGUCGUUCUUGUUUAUCUAGAUUUUUUCAGUGAAAAAGAACAUAAAGAGAAGAUAAGGGAAUGAGAGAAGACAAUCAGCAGAAACUCAAAACACCCAGAGAGAAAUAGUGCCACAAUACCAAGAUUGUUGCUUCAGAAAAACAAUCAAUUAACAAUAAAUAAGAAACAAAGAAACACGUUAGCAGCAAUAAAACAAAGAUUGCUGAUGUUUUUCAUUAUAUAGAGGGUUUACUGAAGCAGCUAAAGUGAUCCAGAUAGGUAUAGUGAGACAUUUCAUUAAUAACUGAACAUGAAUCAUGAUGGAUAUUUUGAUCAAGUAAUGUCAUACUCAAGACAAGCUCUUCACAGACCAGCUGUCAGUCAAACUCUCAGGUACUGAAUUGAGUCUCUACUGAUAAUCUUUACAGUUUUACUAUUGUCAAUUGACAACACUACAGAUGAAAACACCAGUAUGAUGCUGCCUCUAACAAUUACAUUAUUAUAUACAUAUAUUUGUCUAUGGGUUUUUUUUUUUUGGUUUGUUUGUAAUGUCAUAGCUUUGUUUUGUCUAAAGUUUAAAGGUUAAAAUCCUCAAGGGUUGAUCCAUGAAAUAUCACCACUGUGUCCUUGAUCAAACUCUGAAUCUCAGGAACUGAACCUGUAAUAAGUGCUCUGAAAGACACUGUGGAGGAAAGUGGCAACAAAAAAUGCCAAAUAUGUGUUUUAUUGUAUUUCAUUUGCAAUAUAUUGUGUUGUUGUUGUUUUUUUUUCAAUGUUCCAUACCUUUUACUGGCUGCUGCACAAGCCUUUUUACAGGUAUUAAGCAUCUGAAUGCUGUUUUAAGCACUUCACAUAAAUACACUUGUCUGAACAAAAAGACUUGAAAUUGUGCAAAUCUCUGUUUGUUAGGUUCAUCCUGUUUGAUUUACUCAUUCAAAGAGCUCAUUGUCUGCUCACUGAACUCUGAGAUCUGGGGUUCCCAAAUCAACAGCAGGAUUUAGGUGUCAUCGUGGUGCACUUUAUUGUAAAUGUUCUCAGAAAAGCCAUUUCAGUUUCUCAGUUAAAGUACUACACUGUAAAAAAUAAAUGUGAUUUUAACAGUAAAAUAUUGUAAAAACGGUACGAAAAAAAAUUGUAAAUGGGUUAACAGUAAGUUCCAGUACUAUGUACAGGGAAAAACUGUAAAAGCUCUUACCAGACAUUUUAUGUAAUUUUCACAGUAAAAUGCUGUAAAUUUUACAAUUUGUAGAAGUAAAAAAGAACAAAUCAAUGUAUAAUUUACAGUCAAAAACUGUAAACUGAUAUUCCCACAAUUCCCUGUGACACUCCACAUUUGAAAGUAUUUUGUUUAAAAAAUCAUGUUUCUUAAUAGUUUUUGUUAUCAGUUAUGUACAUUAGGGUUUUAUGUUACAUCUUCUGUUGUUUAAUGAAUGUUUAUUGCAUUAUGUAAGUGUUGUGGGUUACCAUGAUGGUGUUUUGCAUUUGCGUGAAUGACUCUUUGCACCCUCUUUACAUUAGUAUAUACUUCAGCUCGUGGAAAAGCUAUUUGUGAUGAACUCUGAUUCUUCAUGUGGCUUUCUCUUUUACCGCCUGCAUUAUUAGGUGGUUGUCAGUAUAUGUUAAAGGUACAAAACAGAUUUUAGUAGUAGUGUGCAUUGUUGAAUUUACUUGUUUACAUUCAAAUUUUCUUGUUUGUAAAUUAGUUUUAUACUGUAAAAUUGACAGUUUGUUCUGUAAGUGUUUGUAAUGACGGGUCGACAGAAGGAGGAUCCAUUUGCAGCUUUAUUAAGAUAAUUACCAAAGCAGACAGGGGCAAAGGCAGAGGCAUAAACAGGGACAGGCAAUGGUCGAGGCAGGCGGCAGACGAACAGAGUAAAGUCACAGGCAAUGGUCAGGGCAG